AACGCACAUUGCGCCCAUUAGUAUUCUAGUGGGCAUGCCUGUCCGAGCGUCAUUUCAACCCUCAGACACCUAUAUGUCUGGCGUUGGGGCGUUCUAUAGCACUUUGCUAUAGGCCUUAAAAAUUAGUGGCGGGCCCCUUGAAGACCCUGAACGCAGUAAUUUUUUUUCUCGUUCCCGGCGUUUUAGGGGCUGCCCAGCCGUCAAAUUUCUAAAUUUCAAAAGUCUGACCUCGGAUCAGGUAGGAUUACCCGCUGAACUUAA
Molecule: unclassified non-coding RNA, 261 nt
Filed under: uncultured fungus
Lineage: Eukaryota; Fungi
Description: sequence contains ITS2
Source: RNAcentral